RNAcentral lists this ribosomal RNA (253 nucleotides) under uncultured bacterium. RNAcentral's name for it is "partial 16S ribosomal RNA". It matches the Rfam family "Bacterial small subunit ribosomal RNA", at positions 524 to 776 of the family's 1533-position model. The record is from RNAcentral.
UACGUAGGGGGCAAGCGUUGUUCGGAAUUACUGGGCGUAAAGCGCACGUAGGCGGCUUUGCAAGUUAGAGGUGAAAGCCCGGGGCUCAACUCCGGAAUUGCCUUUAAAACUGCAUCGCUAGAAUUGUGGAGAGGUAAGUGGAAUUCCGAGUGUAGAGGUGAAAUUCGUAGAUAUUCGGAAGAACACCAGUGGCGAAGGCGACUUACUGGACACAUAUUGACGCUGAGGUGCGAAAGCGUGGGGAGCAAACAGG